GCCUCCGUGGCCCAAUGGAUAAGGCACCGGCCUCCUAAGCCGGGGAUUGCGGGUUCGAGUUCCCGUCGGAGGUA
This 74-nucleotide transfer RNA is filed under the name Mytilus galloprovincialis (Mediterranean mussel). It matches the Rfam family "tRNA". Rfam says of the family: Transfer RNA (tRNA) molecules are approximately 80 nucleotides in length. Their secondary structure includes four short double-helical elements and three loops (D, anti-codon, and T loops). The record is from Rfam by way of RNAcentral. Lineage: Eukaryota; Metazoa; Mollusca; Bivalvia; Mytilida; Mytilidae.